GGCAUUGUGGCUCAGUGGAAAGAGCACAGCCUUGGGAGUCAGAGGAUGUGGGUUCCAAUCCCGGCUUUGCCA
This 72-nucleotide transfer RNA is filed under the name Ornithorhynchus anatinus (platypus). It matches the Rfam family "tRNA". From Rfam's summary of the family: Transfer RNA (tRNA) molecules are approximately 80 nucleotides in length. Their secondary structure includes four short double-helical elements and three loops (D, anti-codon, and T loops). Further hydrogen bonds mediate the characteristic L-shaped molecular structure. tRNAs have two regions of fundamental functional importance: the anti-codon, which is responsible for specific mRNA codon recognition, and the 3' end, to which the tRNAs corresponding amino acid is attached (by aminoacyl-tRNA synthetases). tRNAs cope with the degeneracy of the genetic code in two manners: having more than one tRNA (with a specific anti-codon) for a particular amino acid; and 'wobble' base-pairing, i.e. permitting non-standard base-pairing at the 3rd anti-codon position. Lineage: Eukaryota; Metazoa; Chordata; Mammalia; Monotremata; Ornithorhynchidae. The record is from Rfam by way of RNAcentral.